UUCUUAUCCAGAGAGGUGGAGGGUCUGGCCCGAUGAAGCCCGGCAACCGUUGCAUAUUGCAACAAGGUGCCAAUUCCUGCGAGACGUUUCGUCUCGAAAGAUAAGAA
RNAcentral lists this non-coding RNA (107 nucleotides) under Brevibacillus brevis. RNAcentral's name for it is "SAM-I sequence". It matches the Rfam family "SAM riboswitch aptamer (S box leader)". From Rfam's summary of the family: The SAM riboswitch is found upstream of a number of genes which code for proteins involved in methionine or cysteine biosynthesis in Gram-positive bacteria. The SAM riboswitch acts at the level of transcription termination control. Lineage: Bacteria; Bacillati; Bacillota; Bacilli; Caryophanales; Paenibacillaceae. The record is from RNAcentral. RNAcentral also lists the same sequence under 1 other name.